GAACAAUUUUUUUAACAUUUUCCUUUUUUUAUCAAAAAAUAUAAGGUUCUUUAGAUGAAAUUUAGUUACAAGCCCAAGUCCACUUAAAAUAUGGAAUGCGAUAUAGAUUUAAGCCAAGCCUAGGAUCAAACGCUAAGAAACCCUAGGCUAAACAGAUACCCAAUCACCCAAACUUUGCUGCCGACCUUUACGUCUUCUUCUCCAACAAGAUCUUCACCGGCUUUCAAAUGAAGAUCGGCAAAGGCAAGUGAUCAAAACCGAGACCCACCUCCGACUGCUAGCCAAUGCUUGCUCUGAAGAGCUGCACAAUAAACAGGGGACCAACUUCAACAUGUAAAUCCAAUCGGUGAUACCCAACAAAAGCCCCAUUCUA
RNAcentral lists this unclassified non-coding RNA (373 nucleotides) under Hevea brasiliensis (rubber tree). Lineage: Eukaryota; Viridiplantae; Streptophyta; Magnoliopsida; Malpighiales; Euphorbiaceae. The record is from RNAcentral.